GGUAGCUCAGGGGCAGAGCACUUGCCUGGCAUGCAGAAGGACCUGAGUUCAAUCCCCAGUACCA
Molecule: transfer RNA, 64 nt
Filed under: Cavia porcellus (domestic guinea pig)
Lineage: Eukaryota; Metazoa; Chordata; Mammalia; Rodentia; Caviidae
Rfam family: tRNA
About the family: Transfer RNA (tRNA) molecules are approximately 80 nucleotides in length. Their secondary structure includes four short double-helical elements and three loops (D, anti-codon, and T loops).
Source: Rfam by way of RNAcentral